UAGGGAAUCUUCCGCAAUGGCCGCAAGUCUGACGGAGCAACGCCGCGUGAGUGAAGAAGGAUUUCGGUUCGUAAAACUCUGUUGUUAGAGAAGAACAGCGCAUAGAGUAACUGUUAUGCGUGUGACGGUAUCUAACCAGAAAGCCACGGCUAACUACGGGCCAGCAGCCGCGGUAAUACGUAGGUGGCAAGCGUUGUCCGGAUUUAUUGGGCGUAAAGCGAGCGCAGGCGGUCAAUUAAGUCUGAUGUGAAAGCCCCCGGCUCAACCGGCGAGGGUCAUUGGAAACUGGUUGACUUGAGUGCAGAAGAGGAGAGUGGAAUUCCAUGUGUAGCGGUGAAAUGCGUAGAUAUAUGGAGGAACACCAGUUGCGAAGGCGACUCUCUGGUCUGUAACUGACGCUGAGGCUCGAAAGCGUGGGUAGCAAACAGG
This 429-nucleotide ribosomal RNA is filed under the name Bacteroidota bacterium. Its description in RNAcentral is "Bacteroidetes bacterium partial 16S ribosomal RNA". It matches the Rfam family "Bacterial small subunit ribosomal RNA", at positions 355 to 776 of the family's 1533-position model. Lineage: Bacteria; Pseudomonadati; Bacteroidota. The record is from RNAcentral.